Molecule: transfer RNA, 73 nt
Filed under: Porphyromonas gingivicanis
Lineage: Bacteria; Pseudomonadati; Bacteroidota; Bacteroidia; Bacteroidales; Porphyromonadaceae
Rfam family: tRNA
About the family: Transfer RNA (tRNA) molecules are approximately 80 nucleotides in length. Their secondary structure includes four short double-helical elements and three loops (D, anti-codon, and T loops). Further hydrogen bonds mediate the characteristic L-shaped molecular structure. tRNAs have two regions of fundamental functional importance: the anti-codon, which is responsible for specific mRNA codon recognition, and the 3' end, to which the tRNAs corresponding amino acid is attached (by aminoacyl-tRNA synthetases). tRNAs cope with the degeneracy of the genetic code in two manners: having more than one tRNA (with a specific anti-codon) for a particular amino acid; and 'wobble' base-pairing, i.e. permitting non-standard base-pairing at the 3rd anti-codon position.
Source: Rfam by way of RNAcentral
UCGGAAAUAGCUCAGUUGGUAGAGCAUAACCUUGCCAAGGUUAGGGUCGCGAGUUCGAGUCUCGUUUUCCGCU